This 605-nucleotide ribosomal RNA is filed under the name uncultured bacterium. Its description in RNAcentral is "bacterial SSU rRNA". It matches the Rfam family "Bacterial small subunit ribosomal RNA", at positions 37 to 635 of the family's 1533-position model. The record is from RNAcentral.
UGGCGGCGUGCCUAACACAUGCAAGUCGAGCGGUAACAGGUGUAGCAAUACAUGCUGACGAGCGGCGAACGGGUGAGUAAUGUUUCGGAAUCUGCCCAAUGGUGGGGAAUAACCAGCCGAAAGGUUGGCUAAUACCGCAUAAGCCCUACGGGGGAAAGCGGGGGAUCGCAAGACCUCGCGCCGAUGGAUGAGCCGAAACCGGAUUAGCUAGUUGGUAGGGUAACGGCCUACCAAGGCGACGAUCCGUAGCUGGUCUGAGAGGACGACCAGCCACACUGGGACUGAGACACGGCCCAGACUCCUACGGGAGGCAGCAGUGGGGAAUAUUGGACAAUGGGGGAAACCCUGAUCCAGCGACGCCGCGUGUGUGAAGAAGGCCUGCGGGUUGUAAAGCACUUUUAGUGGGGAUGAAAAGCUCAGGGCUAAUACCGCUGAGUCUUGACCUAACCCAGAGAAAAAGCACCGGCUAACUCUGUGCCAGCAGCCGCGGUAAUACAGAGGGUGCAAGCGUUAAUCGGAAUUACUGGGCGUAAAGCGUGCGUAGACGGUUAUGUAAGUCGGGUGUGAAAGCCCCGGGCUCAACCUGGGAAUUGCAUUCGUGACUG